Molecule: long non-coding RNA, 983 nt
Organism: Suricata suricatta (meerkat)
Lineage: Eukaryota; Metazoa; Chordata; Mammalia; Carnivora; Herpestidae
Exons: 4
Source: RefSeq, a predicted model, not a curated record
CCUCCCAGCCUCUCCGGCCCACCCCAGCUCUGCCGGCUAAACCUCAUCCCCUGGGUCCUCCUGUCUCCAAGGAGCCCCUGAGGAAGGAGGAGAGAACACUGGCCUGUGUGCUCAUUCCCCCCAGGAAGCACAUGCUACCUGCUCGCUCUGGUACUGCUCUGGAACACAAGUACACAGAGAACUCUGUCUGCCGGUGCUUGCGUGCCAGCGGCAGAGACAGACAGUAAAUGGAAUCGACCCGACAGUGACGUGUGACACAGAAGAUAGGACAGUGAGCACAGGGCAGGAGGAAUGCAGUUGUAAACUGGGUGGUCAGGCCAGGCCUUGCUGAGAAGGCGACAGUUAAGCAAAGACUUGAAGGACUUUUCUGGGCUGUGAGCUGCAGUAAUUUAUCCAAAGCUCACAGCAGCCCCGAGAGGCAGCUUGUUUGUAGAUGAGGACACCGAGGCUUAGAGGGUGAAGUUAUAGAACAAGGUGCUCAGCCAGUAAGUGGUGGACCCAGGAUUUGAGUCCAUGUCUGCUGAUUCUGAACCCUCACAGCUGGUGAAAUACGGAGGAUCUGCUGUGGGUGAUGGAUAGCCCUGAUUCCACGGGCCUGGGGGCAGGGAGUGGAAGUCUCGAGAUUUGAAAAAGCCUCCUGAAGGGUAGGAGGCCUGGGCUGCCGAGCCUGCGGACAGAUGGAUGCGCCCCCGGAUUCCGGUGCGAUGUGGGUGCCUGGAGACUUAAAGACACACCAGGAGAGGAACCAGCUGGCUCUCUGCAAAAUGGAGCAGCAGCACCAGCUCUCAGCGCAGCAGCGGGCAGAGCAGCGGAAUCUUCGAGAAAUCCACUCGCACCGUGCCAGAGGCAACAUUCUGAGAAUCACAGGGCCUUCGGUCUCGAAGGGACACCAUGAGGCAGGUGGCUCAGUGGUCAAGAGAAGGGCCUGGUACUUACAUGCCUAGGUUCCAAUCCUGUCUCCACCACAGAUGUGCUGUGUGACC